This 548-nucleotide ribosomal RNA is filed under the name Cnemaspis siamensis. Its description in RNAcentral is "partial 16S ribosomal RNA". It matches the Rfam family "Bacterial large subunit ribosomal RNA", at positions 1817 to 2597 of the family's 2925-position model. Lineage: Eukaryota; Metazoa; Chordata; Lepidosauria; Squamata; Gekkonidae. The record is from RNAcentral.
GGCCUUUAGCCCCCAAAGUAUUAAAGGUCCAGCCUGCCCAGUGAAACUCAUUUUUAACGGCCGCGGUAUCCUAACCGUGCAAAGGUAGCGUAAUCAUUUGUCCUCUAAAUAAGGACCUGUAUGAACGGCUAACUGAGGACAGAACUGUCUCCUGCGACCACUCAAUGAAACUGCUCUCCCAGUACAAAAGCUGGGCUACCCCCAUAAGACGAGAAGACCCUGUGGAGCUUAAAACCCGCCCCACUCCAAGAACACAAAAGCCCCCGGGCUCCCUCCCUCCCCCUGACAAGCUGGUUUUCAGUUGGGGCGACUAUGGAAUAAAAUAAAACUUCCACGAAAACAUUCGCACAAAAGGCCCACACGCCUACAGCGCAUAAAUCUUCUGACCCAGCAUAGCUGAGCACCGAACCAAGUUACCCCAGGGAUAACAGCGCAAUCCUCCCUUAGAGUCCAUAUCACCAGGAGGGUUUACGACCUCGAUGUUGGAUCAGGACACCCAAGUGGUGCAGCCGCCACUAAAGGUUCGUUUGUUCAACGACUAAUGUCCU